This 87-nucleotide transfer RNA is filed under the name Proteus mirabilis. RNAcentral's name for it is "tRNA-Leu". It matches the Rfam family "tRNA". From Rfam's summary of the family: Transfer RNA (tRNA) molecules are approximately 80 nucleotides in length. Their secondary structure includes four short double-helical elements and three loops (D, anti-codon, and T loops). The record is from RNAcentral. RNAcentral also lists the same sequence under 1 other name. Lineage: Bacteria; Pseudomonadati; Pseudomonadota; Gammaproteobacteria; Enterobacterales; Morganellaceae.
GCGAGAGUGGCGGAAUUGGUAGACGCACUAGCUUCAGGUGUUAGUGUUCUUACGGACGUGGGGGUUCAAGUCCCCCCUUUCGCACCA